AGAGUUUGAUCCUGGCUCAGAACGAACGCUGGCGGCAGGCCUAACACAUGCAAGUCGAGCGCCCGCAAGGGAGCGGCAGACGGGUGAGUAACGCGUGGGAACGUGCCCUUUGGUUCGGAAUAUUCCCGGGAAACUGGGAGCAAAACCGGAUAAGCCCUUCGGGGGAAAGUUUACGCCCAAGGAUCGGCCCGCGUUAGAUUAGGUAGUUGGUGGGGUAACGGCCUACCAAGCCUACGAUCUAUAGCUGAUCUGAGAGGAUGAUCAGCCACACUGGGACUGAGACACGGCCCAGACUCCUACGGGAGGCAGCAGUGGGGAAUCUUGGACAAUGGGCGCAAGCCUGAUCCAGCCAUGCCGCGUGGAUGACUGAAGGCCCUAGGGUUGUAAAGUCCUUUCGACGGGGACGAUAAUGACGGUACCCGUAGAAGAAGCCCCGGCUAACUUCGUGCCAGCAGCCGCGGUAAUACGAAGGGGGCUAGCGUUGUUCGGAUUUACUGGGCGUAAAGGGCGCGUAGGCGGAUUUUUAAGUCGGGGGUGAAAUCCCGGAGCUCAACUCCGGAACUGCCUUCGAUACUGGAAGUCUGGAGCACGGUAGAGGUGAGUGGAAUUCCGAGUGUAGCGGUGAAAUGCGUAGA
Molecule: ribosomal RNA, 635 nt
Filed under: uncultured bacterium
Lineage: Bacteria
Description: bacterial SSU rRNA
Rfam family: Bacterial small subunit ribosomal RNA
Source: RNAcentral